AUCCCUCGCUAUCACCGUCACCGU
This 24-nucleotide non-coding RNA is filed under the name Arabidopsis thaliana (thale cress). Lineage: Eukaryota; Viridiplantae; Streptophyta; Magnoliopsida; Brassicales; Brassicaceae. The record is from RNAcentral.